GGCCCGGACACGGAAAGGAUUGACAGAUUGAUAGCUCUUUCUCGAUUCUGUGGGAGGUGGUGCAUGGCCGUUCUUAGUUUGUGGAGCGAUUUGUCUGGUUAAUUCCGAUAACGAACCAGACUCCUCCAUGCUAACUAGUUACGUGACCCCCGGCAGUUAAGUUUUAAUGGUGUAUAAAUACGAGCUUGUGGACAUGCUUUAAUGGGAGGGUGCAAAUACAUGGGUCAGUUCUUUCUCUUUCUUGUUC
RNAcentral lists this non-coding RNA (247 nucleotides) under Xenopus laevis (African clawed frog). Its description in RNAcentral is "Eukaryotic small subunit ribosomal RNA". It matches the Rfam family "Eukaryotic small subunit ribosomal RNA", at positions 1221 to 1404 of the family's 1831-position model. The record is from Rfam by way of RNAcentral. Lineage: Eukaryota; Metazoa; Chordata; Amphibia; Anura; Pipidae.